CGCCCUUAUUAGAUACCCUGGGUAGUCCACGCAGUAAACGAUGAAUACUAAUUGUCCGGGACGAAUGAGUCCUGGGUGAUACAGCGAAAGCGUUAAGUAUUCCACCUGGGGAGUACGCCGGCAACGGUGAAACUCAAAGGAAUUGACGGGGGCCCGCACAAGCGGAGGAACAUGUGGUUUAAUUCGAUGAUACGCGAGGAACCUUACCCGGGCUCAAACGACACAGGAAUACUUUUGAAAGGAGGUAGCCAGCAAUGGUCUGUGUCGAGGUGCUGCAUGGUUGUCGUCAGCUCGUGCCGUGAGGUGUCGGCUUAAGUGCCAUAACGAGCGCAACCCCUACCGCCAGUUGCCAGCAGGUAAAGCUGGGGACUCUGGCGGGACUGCCGGCGCAAGCUGCGAGGAAGGCGGGGAUGACGUCAAAUCAGCACGGCCCUUACGUCCGGGGCGACACACGUGUUACAAUGGCAGGUACAGCGGGAAGCCACCUGGCGACAGGGCGCGGAACCCGAAAACCUGUCUCAGUUCGGAUUGGAGUCUGCAACCCGACUCCAUGAAGCUGGAUUCGCUAGUAAUCGCGCAUCAGCCACGGCGCGGUGAAUACGUUCCCGGGCCUUGUACACACCGCCCGUCAAGCCAUGGAAGCCGGGAGUGCCUGAAGUACGCGACCGCAAGGAGCGUCCUAAGGCAAUACCGGUGACUGGGGCUAAGUCGUAACAAGGUACC
RNAcentral lists this ribosomal RNA (723 nucleotides) under uncultured bacterium. RNAcentral describes it as "bacterial SSU rRNA". It matches the Rfam family "Bacterial small subunit ribosomal RNA", at positions 769 to 1500 of the family's 1533-position model. The record is from RNAcentral.